GUGGGGAAUCUUGCGCAAUGGGCGAAAGCCUGACGCAGCCAUGCCGCGUGAAUGAUGAAGGUCUUAGGAUUGUAAAAUUCUUUCACCGGGGACGAUAAUGACGGUACCCGGAGAAGAAGCUCCGGCUAACUUCGUGCCAGCAGCCGCGGUAAUACGAAGGGGGCUAGCGUUGCUCGGAAUUACUGGGCGUAAAGGGCGCGUAGGCGGACAGCUUAGUCAGAGGUGAAAGCCCAGGGCUAAACCUUGGAAUUGCCUGUGAUACUGGCUGUCUUGAGUUUGGGAGAGGUGAGUGGAACUCCGAGUGUAGAGGUGAAAUUCGUAGAUAUUCGGAAGAACACCAGUGGCGAAGGCGACUCACUGGCCCAAUACUGACGCUGAGGCGCGAAAGCGUGGGGAGCAAACAGUAUUAGAUCCCCUGGUAGUCC
Molecule: ribosomal RNA, 425 nt
Filed under: uncultured bacterium
Lineage: Bacteria
Description: partial 16S ribosomal RNA
Rfam family: Bacterial small subunit ribosomal RNA
Source: RNAcentral